Molecule: transfer RNA, 73 nt
Filed under: Haliscomenobacter hydrossis DSM 1100
Lineage: Bacteria; Pseudomonadati; Bacteroidota; Saprospiria; Saprospirales; Haliscomenobacteraceae
Also listed under: 1 other name
Description: tRNA-Ile2 (CAT) (tRNA-Ile2-CAT-1-1)
Rfam family: tRNA
About the family: Transfer RNA (tRNA) molecules are approximately 80 nucleotides in length. Their secondary structure includes four short double-helical elements and three loops (D, anti-codon, and T loops).
Source: Rfam by way of RNAcentral
GGUCCCUUAGCUCAGUGGUUAGAGCGUCUGACUCAUAAUCAGGGGGUCGUAGGUUCAAAUCCUACAGGGACCA